RNAcentral lists this small RNA (294 nucleotides) under Diaporthe ampelina. RNAcentral's name for it is "5' ureB small RNA". It matches the Rfam family "5' ureB small RNA". Lineage: Eukaryota; Fungi; Ascomycota; Sordariomycetes; Diaporthales; Diaporthaceae. The record is from Rfam by way of RNAcentral.
CUCGUUCGCCUGCUGCGGGCAGAUGAAGUGGAUAUGUGUGUCAAUGCCACCAGCGGUGAUGAUCUUGCCCUCUCCGGCAAUGACAUCCGUACAGCUGCCGACCACCAUGCCCGGUGUAACGCCCUCCAUGACAUCCGGGUUGCCCGCCUUGCCAAUGCCCACGAUCAGCCCGUCUUUUACGCCAAUGUCCGCCUUAUAGAUUCCUGUCCAGUCCACAAUCAGGGCGUUGGUGACAACCAGAUCCAGCGUCCUCGAGUCCGGCCGCCCGGUGGCCUGCCCCAUGCCCUCGCGGAG